RNAcentral lists this ribosomal RNA (450 nucleotides) under uncultured bacterium. RNAcentral's name for it is "bacterial SSU rRNA". It matches the Rfam family "Bacterial small subunit ribosomal RNA", at positions 355 to 796 of the family's 1533-position model. The record is from RNAcentral.
UAGGGAAUAUUGCUCAAUGGGGGAAACCCUGAAGCAGCAACGCCGCGUGAGUGAUGAAGGCCUUCGGGUCGUAAAGCUCUGUUGUACGGGAAGAACGUGGGUAUAGCUAACAUCUAUAUCCAGUGACGGUACCGUAUAAGAAAGGACCGGCUAACUUCGUGCCAGCAGCCGCGGUAAGACGGGGGGUCCUAGCGUUGUUCGGAAUUAUUGGGCGUAAAGCGUGUGCAGGUGGUUUUGAAAGUUAGAUGUGAAAGCCCCGGGCUUAACUCGGGAAGGGCAUUUAAAACUACAAAACUUGAGUAAGGAAGAGGGUCGUGGAAUUCCUGGUGUAGUGGUGAAAUACGUAGAUAUCAGGAGGAACACCGGCGGCGAAGGCGGCGACCUGGUCCUAUACUGACACUCAUACACGAAAGCGUGGGGAUCAAACAGGAUUAGAUACCCCUGUAGUCC